UCACUGUCUGCUCACUUCUCGUAUUUUGCUGCCCUGCUCAUAUGCUCUCCUAUCAAACAGAGCUCUGCGGGUUUUCGGUAAGUGCAGUGGUCGCCAUAUGAUUCAAAAAAACUUGCUGUAGGUACCAGCCAAAACUUCGGUAUCGUCGGAACCGGAAAGCAAGAAAUCCUUCGUGUGCAAGAACGGGAAAUCCACAAAAUUUGUAGCUUCUAUACGCCAAACGCCAUCUACGACUGCUGCUGGAGCGAGUCAAAUGAACGCCAUCUGCUGUCUGCGUGCGGAGAUGGCACCAUCAGGCUAUGGGAUAUUGGCACCUCCGUCAAUCCGAGGCAAACGUGGGCUGAGCACAAAGCAGAAGUCAGCUCUCUGAGCUGGAACGUCUUGAACAAAGAUUGGUUUGUAAGCGUAGGAUGGGAUGGAACAAUUGCUCUAUGGACUCCGGAGUCGAUGUGGCCUCUUCAUCGAUGGAGAGAGCAAGAAAUAUGUUUGUAUGAUUGCGUAUGGGCACCGCAACACGCACAUCUUACCAUGACAGUCGGGAGCGAUGGUAAAAUGAAAAUAUGGGACGUGAGAAACAGACAACCAAGUCUCGUAGUCGAUGCCCAUGCAUUCGAAAUUCUAUGUUGCGAUUGGAAUAAAUAUGACCAAAACAUUGUCGCAACUGGGAGCAUUGAUAAAACCAUCAAAAUAUGGGAUACCCGUCAGCUCAAAACCCCUGUCAAUACUCUCUUUGCUCAUAACUAUGCUGUCAGAAAACUAACGUGGUCUCCGCAUUAUCGAUCGCAGUUCUUCUCCGCAUCUUAUGACAUGACAUGCAUACUAUGGGACUUGUCCAUAGAUGAACCAAUCGUUCACCGAUUCGAGCAUCACACUGAAUUCUGUGUCGGGUUGUCAUAUAACCAAUUUAUCGAAGGCAAAAUCUCAAGUUGCGGAUGGGACCGUCAUAUCUUUGUAUGGACACUCAAGCCACAAUCACUCUAUUAACACAUGUUUUUUUUGAAAAAAAACGUCACCAAGUCACCCUCUCAACCUAAAGCUAUUAUCACACGCAUAUUCGUCGCUCUCUCAAUAAAAAUUCGCGCCUCAACGUCUCCUCUUUGUGAUAUAAGGCUCCAUUCCGCCUACGCCAUCUGCAUCAACGCCUUCCACUCUGAACAUGCCAACGGCGUUUCCUGGAUCCUCCCUAUCUGCUGCAUCUCGUAUCGACACUCCAUCUGCUUCCAUUCUUUGUACCGAUCCACUACAUAUGCUUCAAACUUCUCUCUAAAACUCUUCCUUAACAACCUCUCGUGGUCGAAGUCAUUUUUGAUCCAAUACUCCACUCCCUCCCUCUCCGUCUCUUGCUUAAUCCUGUACCCCCCCCCUUCAUAAAAGCGAAAUUCUGGAUACCCUUCGUACGUUGGCUCAAGCUGCCACAAUACAUAUAGCACAAUCGACAACAGCGACAACAAUUGAAACCAUCUAGAGCGCAUUAAACCUGCGUUAUGGCUCGAUCUCCUAGGCCCCCCCCUCAUGUAGCUACUCCCCUGAAAAAACUCGAAAGGGGUUCUAGCAAACCCACCCGUUCCGUACGAAAAGCCGUAGGUAGAGUGCUGAGCAGGCGAAAAAAACAUAUUGAAUAAAUCUUCAUAUUCAAAUGGCAUCUGCGUCCCGAAAUUACCGAAUCUUGCGUCGCCAGUCCAGCCAGGCGCAAACCUGGACGAUGCCGGACGCUCAUCUACUACGCCUGUUCGGUCAUAUCGUUCUCUCAACCUCCUGUCCGUCAAAACGUGCUUAGCUGCACUCAAUUCUUCAAGAAAGAGACGGUCAGGUUCGCGCGUUGGUGAGAUGGCUAGAUUCUCUUCGUUGCAUCGAGCGUACUCUUGAAUGCAUCACCUGCUCUCGGAUGGUCAUUUCUAUCCGGGUGAACUAAUAUGCACAGCUUUUUGAUCGCCAAAUGCGUUCCCCGCUGUCAGUACGCUUCUCUUUUUUUGAGAAAAUUAUCGCCUUCCGUACCUUUUUGUACUGCUUGUUGAUGUCUUCAGUCGUUGCCUUCGACGUCACGAAUAAAACCUUGUACAAAUCCGUAAA
This is an RNA transcript of Schistocerca gregaria, 2070 nucleotides long. It is a transcript of the gene named peroxisomal targeting signal 2 receptor-like, with no coding region annotated. The record is from RefSeq and is a predicted model, not a curated record. The transcript is spliced from 3 exons. Lineage: Eukaryota; Metazoa; Arthropoda; Insecta; Orthoptera; Acrididae.